ACGUGGGCUCAGCGUUCCUCCCGGACUCCCAGGCUUAGGGAUGCUCUUAUCCCUGACGAUGUAGCAGGGGGACGCAUGGCACCCAGGCACUGACCCUCAGGUAUCAUGCUGCCACACCCAUAGCCCCCGGCUCUGGCCCCUGUCCGCUCCCUUGGAGACGUUGUACCCAUGGACAGAAGGCUCCUGGCUAUUGCCUCUUUUCUCAUCCAUCCAUCGGUGCAAUUGUGAAGCACCAGUGUAUGCCAGACACUGCUCUAGGUACUGGGAACACAUCGGUGGUGGAAACAGACCAAGAACCUUGACCUCAUGGAACGUCCUUCGAGCAGGAGAGACAGACGGAGGGAAGCGUCCGGCGUGGGUGGAGGAGAUGCUACGAGUUCUGGGGAAGGACGGACAGCAGAGGGAGGGGGUGGGACCUUCAGGGUAAGGAUGGGUUUGCUGCCAAGUGAAAUACGGUGGUGGGGGUGGCCUCACUGAGAAGGCGGCAUCUGACCAACGUCGAGGAGACCUGGGAGGGAGCCUGGCAGGUAGCCGCGGGGAGAACGCUGCAGGCAGAGGAGGUGGCCCAGUUAAAGGGCAGAGGUGCCUGCUUGUUCAAAGCUGGUGUGGCAGAGCGGGGGCUGGUCUGCAGAGCUUCUCAGGCCUUGGAAGGCCCGUGACUUCUACUCUAGGGGGUCCAAGCCAGGACAGUGCCGUCUGACUUCCUUGCUGUCGGGGCUUCCUGUAGGACAGGGGACAAGGGCAGCCAGAACACAGGGUGAGGGGACGGUGCCUGCAGGGUGGGGUGCGGUGGGGUGGUCAGGUUCUGGAUGUGCUUUGCGGGUGGAGCCAAGGCCGUUUUGAGCCAGACCGGAGUGGAGUGUGACAGAAAGAGAGGCGCCGGGGAUGCCUCUGAGGAUUUGGGUCCAAGCAACCAAAAAGAUGGAUUGCUGUUCACUGCGAUGGGAACGGCUGUGCCUUCUCUGCCUCCCCCACCCCCGACCUCCACUUCCAGGCCCAGGGGGCGGGGGGGGGGUGUCCUCCUGUCUCCCAGCUCACAGCGGGGAGAGGGAGAGGAAUGGGCUGGGGGCUGGGGGGCUUCCAGCUUGGAAUGCGACAGGCCAGCCUCUGAGAAGAGUUUGCUCCUUUCCGUCAAGGCCAGGCUGGGAGGGGGAGACACAGACAGACUCACAGGCCAGCCAGAGAUGGGACCUUCCCCCCAGUGGUCUUGGGGGUUUGGGGACAGUUUAUGGCCCCAGCUCAGACUUAACAAACCCGUUCACGAUACAUCAUCUCCAGCGACUUGUUUGGCUACGGAGCAUAAACUCUCUCUCUGAUCGAAGAUGUUUAUGCAGGUUUUCAAACAAACCUCCAGGUCACGACCCCUCUCUCAGCAGCAUCAACACAGCUGCCUGUGUCCCCUCCCACGGCCGGGCCCCUCCUGGGCACAGCAGCCUGAGGAAGGUGGAUGGUACCUGGUCUGGCUGCGCCCUCCUUGCCCUUGGGAAGGGGCCGGCUGCCUUCUGCGUUAACCCUGGGAGCCCCUCUCCUUGCUGCCUCUUCCGUUGUCACGGCAACCCAGCGCCUCCUCCGGACACACAGCUUCUUGCUCACUCUAGAAAGGCGACGGCUGUAGGGCCCUGGCUUCCUCCUGGCUCUGCCAUUUAGCAGGCAGAUGGGUGAUGUCAUUUUGGAGCCUGGUUUCUCCCUGUGACACAGGCCUCGCCUCACCUGCAGGCUGGGACUGGACACGCAGAAGGCACUUCCAAUCACCUCCCAUGCCAGGUCUGGACACAAGGGUGGCAACCUCUGGCCUCACUUUCACGGCCUGGGGUGGGUGGGUUGGUGGGUGUUUUGGUGGGUUGGUUGGUUGUUGAGUUCAUGACUAUCCUAUUUCUAACUGCUCUUGAGAACAAAUGCCUUUUGCUGCAGGAUUGUAAACGUCGAGAAAAGAGAAAGUGCUCCUUUUAAGAAAUAACAUGCUCUCACAAGCUGAUGGGGAGAAACAUUACCACCCCUGGACAAAGAGGAGACGGCUCUCCCAUCCAAGAUGGCCAUGCUGGGGUUGCAGGCCACACGUGCAGCCGAGCCAGGGCACUGCCGACCUCUCCUCUGAGUGAUGAGAAUUCAGGUACCAACCCACUCACCGGGGUUCUUCCCUGGCACCUAAGCUGACCCCAGGGAUGGGAGCACUCCCUGGCUGAGCCCCUGCCUCCUACCGGUCCAUUCACUCACCCUGCAGGCAUUUACUGGUUGCAGGUCCCGGCACCAGGCUUGGUUGCCAACUGAGGACCUGCAGGCUGAAAUCAGGCCACAGAGAAGCUGUAUCUGACCCACAUCAUGUUUCUGAAAGUUUUCCAUCACUCACUCGCAAAGUUAAAAAGUUUGAAAACUGCAUCUAGAAAUCUGACUUCUGGAUUUCUCUUAGAUUACCCAAAAAAGCUAGUCACACUGGGCGACAAUCCCCCGACUGCGUGCACUUGGAGUCGAACAUGGGCAGCCCCUGCUGCGUGUGACGCAGGCCUCACCGCUCCCCGCCGCCUCCCUGAUCCACCCUCUCCCCUCACAGUCCCCCUUGCUGGCCCUGUAGGCGUGUAGCUUUGGAUCCCCGCUGUGGAGGAAGAAUGGCACCACCACCGUGUGUUCGGCUCUCCGCGUGUGCCAGGCUGUACUCGCAGCGUGUUGCACAAACGAACUCAUCUCAGCCCCACAGUAACAGCGCGGGAGACCCUACUAUCAUGCCCAUUCACUCAAGGCAUAGGCACUGAGGGCCCAAACCUGCCAGGUACCCUCCUGGCAAUGGAGAUGCAGCGGGGAGCAAGACAGAAUCCCUGUCUUUAUGGAGCUUCCAUGCCGGUGAGAUAGCUGACAGCAGGCAGAGUAAGUAGACAGGUCAGAAGGUGCCCGUGUGAGGGAGAACACUGAGCAGGAGGAAGGGUUUGGGGCGCUGCUGGUUGGCGUCGGGGGUGCUAGUGUGAAGAAUGUCGGUGUCGGCCUUGCUGGGAAGAUGAUGCUUAAGGAAAGCCGUGAAGGCGGUGAAAGAUGAGAGGAACAAACUAGGCAGAGAGAGAUUGAGAAACGUGCCUGAGGUUGCACAGCUAGUAAACUGCAAAGUUGGGAUCUGAACCUGGGCUGGUUCCAGAGCCUGGUUCUUAAGCCCUGCAUUACAGGCCAUCCCUGCGGCCCAGACCCUCAGAGGGAGGGCAUUAGACAGGCAGGGAACACAGCUGCCAUUAGUGGGCAAGAGCUGGGGGUGGGUUGGGCCAGGGAUGGACGGGGCAGCGGGAAAGGCCACAGCCUAAGGCUUCUGCCCUGAAGAUUCUGAUCUCCUGUCCUGUCCUGUCCUCCCAGGAGGCCAGGAUGGACUGACCCCCUGCUGGCAGCUCUUUAAUUUAAUCUCAGGAGGCUUCUGGGAGCUUGCCUCCACCUUCAAGCUCCAGGCCCCUCCUCCUUGCAAGCAACUGGGGUGAAGCAGCCACAAAUCCUCCUAAUCUGCCAGCAUCUCAGGGUCCGACCAUCUUGGGCAGCACCCAGCCUGGCAGCGGGGAGGCCCCAUCGCUCCCACCCACCCAGCCGUGACUGCCCAGCCGGGCCCACGCCGCCUCACCCAUGGGGAACAGCAAGAGCGGGUCCCUGUCCAAGGAGAUCCUGGAGGAGCUGCAGCUCAACACCAAAUUCACGGAGGAGGAGCUGAGCGCCUGGUACCAGUCCUUCCUGAAGGAGUGCCCCAGCGGCCGCAUCACCCGCCAGGAGUUCCAGACCAUCUAUGCCAAGUUCUUCCCCGAGGCCGACCCCAAGGCCUACGCCCAGCAUGUGUUCCGCAGCUUCGAUGCCAAUAGCGACGGCACCCUGGACUUCAAGGAGUACGUCAUCGCCCUGCACAUGACCAGCGCGGGCAAGUCCAGCCAGAAGCUGGAGUGGGCUUUCUCCCUCUACGACGUGGACGGCAACGGGACCAUCAGCAAGAACGAAGUGCUCGAGAUCAUCACGGCUAUUUUCAAAAUGAUCAGUCCUGAGGACAUGAAGCAGCUCCCCGACGACGAAAACACCCCGGAGAAGCGAGCCGAGAAGAUCUGGGGGUUCUUUGGGAAGAAGGACGAUGGCUGAGUCCCUUGUUCUGCUACCUGCAAACCUGCAAACUGACCCAGGUGGACACUGUAGGAGGCGGUGCUAGAGGAGGCAGGCCUGGCACGCCUGCCAGGCGACCUGUGUUUUCACAUGGCCCAUCUGCAGACAACGCCUCACUCCGGAGUCAGGUUCUGCGGAUAAACUUACAGAGAAAGAGUUCAUCGAGGGGACCAUGGCCAAUAAGGAGAUUCUGCGACUGAUCCAAUUUGAGCCUCAAAAAGUGAAGGAGAAGCUGAAGGAAAAGAAACCCUGAUGUCAGCUACUCAGGUCUCCCCCGUCCCCUCACACACACACACACGUGUGCCCACAGGCGCCCACCCAGCCCCCCGGGGCUGGAAGACCCCCCCCCCAACGGCACAUUAACCUGCAGCACAGCUCCCCGCCAAGCAGAAGUGUCUUUAGCGAGUCAGCUUGUCCUUCCUCUAGUCCUGCCCACUACACCUGCCUGGCCCCCCCACCUCCCGCCAGCCCAGGCCUCAGAAAUAAUCCCAGGAUUAGGUCACAAGAGUCCCAGAUAUCGCCCCCUCCCCUCCCCGUCCCAUGUAAGCUCCUUUGCGGACUGCUGGGUAAGCAGGUUCCAAUAAAUGCACGAGGAGCUGGGCA
Non-coding RNA from Sus scrofa (pig), 4710 nucleotides. Lineage: Eukaryota; Metazoa; Chordata; Mammalia; Artiodactyla; Suidae. The record is from RefSeq and is a predicted model, not a curated record.